This 497-nucleotide ribosomal RNA is filed under the name uncultured bacterium. RNAcentral's name for it is "partial 16S ribosomal RNA". It matches the Rfam family "Bacterial small subunit ribosomal RNA", at positions 28 to 507 of the family's 1533-position model. The record is from RNAcentral.
GAUGAACGCUGGCGGCGUGCCUAAUACAUGCAAGUCGAGCGAACGGACGAGAAGCUUGCUUCUCUGAUGUUAGCGGCGGACGGGUGAGUAACACGUGGAUAACCUACCUAUAAGACUGGGAUAACUUCGGGAAACCGGAGCUAAUACCGGAUAAUAUCUUGAACCGCAUGGUUCAAAAGUGAAAGACGGUCUUGCUGUCACUUAUAGAUGGAUCCGCGCUGCAUUAGCUAGUUGGUAAGGUAACGGCUUACCAAGGCAACGAUGCAUAGCCGACCUGAGAGGGGGAACGGCCAAACUGGAACGAAAACACGGUCCAGACUCCUACGGGAGGCAGCAGUAGGGAAUCUUCCGCAAUGGGCGCAAGCCUGACGGGACAACGCCGCGUGAGUGAUGAAGGUCUUCGGAUCGUAAAACUCUGUUAUUAGGGAAGAACAUAUGUGUAAGUAACUGUGCACAUCUUGACGGUACCUAAUCAGAAAGCCACGGCUAACUACGUG